AUGCUCUCUUCGGUAGCCCAUAUACUAAAAUAGGAACAAUACAGAGAAGAUUAGCAUGGCCCCUGCACGAGGAUGACAUGCAAAUUCCUGAAGUGUUCCAUUUUUUU
Small nuclear RNA from Aotus nancymaae (Ma's night monkey), 107 nucleotides. The record is from Ensembl. NCBI's taxonomy places the organism in Eukaryota, Metazoa, Chordata, Mammalia, Primates, Aotidae.